Molecule: ribosomal RNA, 154 nt
Filed under: uncultured Tuber
Lineage: Eukaryota; Fungi; Ascomycota; Pezizomycetes; Pezizales; Tuberaceae
Description: partial 28S ribosomal RNA
Source: RNAcentral
UUGACCGUGGUAAUAGACUCCAGGAGUGUUUUAAAACGCUAAAUUAGUCUUCUCCAAGUCAUGUUCUGAGCUAUCGGACCCCCCAUUUAGUCCAAACUAGAGAGGUUGACCUCGGAUCAGGUAGGGAUACCCGCUGAACUUAAGCAUAUCAAUA